GAAAUAUGCAGCAGGGGGCAGCACUACGAACCAUCAGCUGAAUCACUGCCUACAGGGGCAGCAGAAGAAGAAAGGCGGAGGGGCCAUGAAAGAUUCAAAUGAACGAUAGCUGAACUUAUGUUUUUCACCAGCAGACCCUAAUUAUUGGAUUAAUGGGUGAGGACUUUUUUGUUUACUUUGAUAUUUAGUACAUUACCUGUACAGAGUUUUGAAUUUGGUGUGCAAUAGCACACAUUAUCCGUUUUUUUGUUUUUGUCUUUGAUUCUUGAUUUUGGAGACAGUUUGGCUUUACUAAAUUGUCUGCAUGAGUUUUAUAUAUGUCCAUUUAUGUGUGUACAAUACACUGUUGGGUAAAAUACACAUUUAACAUUCAUUUUAAAGUAGUCAUUUAGCCAAGUAUUUUUAUUUUUCUCCAAGGUCACCAGACUUAAUUUAAUUCUUACAGCAAAUUUCUUCCUCUUUGUGUUCUAAGUGUGGAGCUUCUAGAGGAAGUAAAAAAAAAAAGAAUAAAAGAAACAACACCCAGACGCAGAGAACAUUCUCUCUAUGAAGGCAAGAAGUAGCUCAAGACACCGAUCGUUGACCUCACAGAAAGAUGACCUGCACUGUUUCUUCCAUGCCAGGUAUUAUUAUUGAUUUUAGUUUGUGUUUCCUUCAUUAUGACUAAUUUCUGUGUUUUAUUUAGAGAAUUACAAAGUUAAUUUCAAGACGAUGUUUAUGGAAAAACUUGACAAAUGUUCUCCAACAAUCCUGACGAUGGUGUUGGCCAAAGGUGGAGAAGACAGACAAGUUACAUCAGGUAAGAUUUAAAUUAGGUUUAGUCAUUUCAUUGUUUGGGUUUGUUAAAAUAAUGUACACAUGUUUUGCUACAAUUAUUAUUAUCAUUAUUAUUAUUUUUGUAAUUAACUUUAUAUUCUCCAUGCAGAUUAGAAUAAGUCCAUCAGGGACGGUGGGAGUUUGCCAUUCAGGCCGUCAUGAUCCAGCUCAGAGGAGGAGGAUCAUCUUGGAGCAGUUGGAUGACGGCAGGAACGGUGCCACAGAAAGUGCAACGCAGAAAACCAUGAAGACCCAUGAAAACUGCAGAGAGAACCAACUACUAAAGCUCCACUCGUCACUGAAGCGACUGCAGUCCUGGAAGCCUCUGAUGUUUGGUCCUGCACUUUACUCAUGCAGUCAACCUCUGCUGCCCCAAACAAGUGAAGAUCUUUGUCUUAGUUUCUUCACAUACCCCUGAAUCAUUGAUCGCGGGGUAUAACCAUAGUUUUGGAAUCACUUUUCUAAAAUCAAUGUCAAAUGCAAAAGUUGGACUUGUUCUUGGUUCAGGGCUCGAAAUUAACUUUUUUUCUUGAUAGCGCUUGUGCUCCUAAUUCUGAAAUUUAGGAGCACAACCAAAAAAAAACAGAAGCUUUUAACAGGGAUGAAGGGAAUUUAAACAUAUCACAUGCCACUUCCAGCCUUCACCAGAUUUUGUGCCUUUGCCAGAAUCUUUGAAGACGUGUUAAACAUUGCGUUUGUGACUUUACGUUUUGUAUUUAGCGAGAGCGGCGAUGAUUCGCUUUCAGCGCUGCACGAGGUGACAGGUGGGUUGGAUUGAAGUUUGCGCUGCUUCUCCUCCUGACAUCGAUUUGCGCGUCAUUUGAGAGAUAGUUCCCAGUCCCAAUGAGUUUAUGAAUGAUAUAUAUUCCUCGUUUUCUCAUAAAGAGACUACAGUUGCGUAAAUACAUUGGCUCAUUAAAUGAAAGCGGGCAGAGGAAUGAGAGCGUUGCACAGGCACACGCAGAGAACACGGGCUGGGCUGGUGCAGAUUGUCCCAGGCAGCGCGUGUGACCGGGAGGAAUGACAGCAGCGCUGAGCCAAAAGAGAGAACAGAUCGUACGGUACUAUAAGCUCUUGAACCAUUUUGGAACAGAAAGUUUGCUGUUGCUGACAGGCAGCGUUUGUGAAAACAAUGACACAAGCUUUUUUAAGGUAACACGAGAAGGUUUUCAGACCGGAGCAUUUGUUUGCAGUCGCAAACAUGCGAGUGAUUCUAUUUUGAGAUCGCAAAGGCAUAAUUUUGGGAGCAUAUGCGACCAAGAUGGUCGCAAUUUCGAGCCCUGUUGGUUUAAAACGUAAUAUUGUGUUGGAACACCACAUUACAUUCUUCAAUUUAAAAAAGUGUUUUUGUAAUUGUUUGCAUAUAGGCCUGUUUGUAGAACGAUUGACAGCUUAAUAAAAUUGUAAUGUAUACGUUGCUCAAACUUAAAUAAAAUGAGUGUCAGUUUAUGGGAUAUUUGAGCUGAAUCAAUUAUGUUGGGGGGAAAUGGCUGAAAUUCUAUAUUUUUACAACUCAAAUUUAACAAAAAAGAAAUCAUUAAAUUCAAGCUGGCUGAACUUAAAAUAAGAACAUUUUCU
This is a long non-coding RNA of Neogobius melanostomus (round goby), 2394 nucleotides long. NCBI's taxonomy places the organism in Eukaryota, Metazoa, Chordata, Actinopteri, Gobiiformes, Gobiidae. The record is from Ensembl.